RNAcentral lists this microRNA precursor (103 nucleotides) under Marmota monax (woodchuck). Lineage: Eukaryota; Metazoa; Chordata; Mammalia; Rodentia; Sciuridae. The record is from RNAcentral.
AGAGGGAUAGCUGGGUCAAAUGAUGGUUCCAUUCCCAGAUUUCCAAGGAAUCUCCAUACUGCUUUCCAUAUUGGCUGUACCAAUUUGCAGUCCCACCAGCAGU